Molecule: long non-coding RNA, 301 nt
Organism: Poecile atricapillus (Black-capped chickadee)
Lineage: Eukaryota; Metazoa; Chordata; Aves; Passeriformes; Paridae
Exons: 3
Source: RefSeq, a predicted model, not a curated record
CCGGCGGCGGCGGCGGAGCCCGGCCCGGGACACUCGGCGUAGGGCUGUGCUUCCUGUGGUCCUGCUCUUAAAGUUGGUUCAGGAUGCUGUUGCUGGAAACUGCAGAGCUUUGUCUGUUGAAGUGAGAUGCUUUGGAGUCAGCUGGAGGAUACCUCCUUUCUACACAGAAAAUAAGAAACCCUUCUGUCUGAAUCUUGCUGCUGAAUAGGCUGGCUGGAUUAGUGUUCGCUUUGAUAUCUUUUUCUUACAGCAUGAAAGAUGCUGUGACAAUGGAGUUAAGCUGCUCUGAAGUACCUCUUUA